UGAAAAUGUAUUCCAAAGUGAACAUGUAAAGAAAUGGAAAUCUAGAGACCAAACUCCUCAGCAUAAAGUCGUGUGUGCAUGUGAAUUCAUGCACGAGUGGCAUUUCACAGUUUUUUACUCAUUGUUUGAGCGAUAUACUCCUGCUAGAAUCAACAGACCCAUGUAGGCUUGGAAGUCUACCAGGUCUAAUUCUCUCCAGGUGUCCCCAAACACACACCUCCCCUCCAGGUUUGUCAUCUCCAGUAUAAUUCCCUCAGUGGACUCAGGUAAAAAGAGUUGGACUUGACGUCAUCCACAUGAGAUGUUGCAUAAUGUGUUGGCCCUGGGAGGUGACUGGUCAGUCUGGUCAGUUUCCUCAAAGUCUGGAUCAAAAUCGGUGUUGUCUUCCACUUCCGAGACAUCCUCCUCUAUCUCUGGUUCAACUUCAGUUCUCUCUUCAUCUUGAGACUCAAAAAUGAGU
Long non-coding RNA from Thalassophryne amazonica, 460 nucleotides. RefSeq lists it as uncharacterized. The record is from RefSeq and is a predicted model, not a curated record. The transcript is spliced from 3 exons. Lineage: Eukaryota; Metazoa; Chordata; Actinopteri; Batrachoidiformes; Batrachoididae.